AAAACUUUGAAUCAAAAACACAAAACUUUUUGUUCUUGGCAAAAAUGUCAAGAACAAUGAAGAACAUUCAUGAAAAAACCCAAAAAAUUUCCAUGAACAUUUUUCAUCCAAAACCAUUCAAACUUUAGGGAAAUAACAUAUAACCAAACUAGGGUACAUAGGGGUUCCAAAAGUUACUUGAAAACACUUUUAACAAGUCAAACAAGAACCCAAAAAUCCACCAUUUGGAUUUGGCCGAAAAUUCCCAAAAACAUGGCACCAAAUUUUAGCUCCAAUAUUCAUGCUCAUAUGAACUACAUCUACAACAUUUGAGAUGGCAAAAUUUCUAACAAAAUUUACAUUCAAAGAAACAAGAAUAAAGCUUGUAACAUAUUACAACAUUUAAAUCAAAACUAUGAA
RNAcentral lists this long non-coding RNA (399 nucleotides) under Malus domestica (apple). RNAcentral describes it as "long non-coding RNA (MDOM_LNC002996)". Lineage: Eukaryota; Viridiplantae; Streptophyta; Magnoliopsida; Rosales; Rosaceae. The record is from RNAcentral.